AGAGUUUGAUCAUGGCUCAGAUUGAACGCUGGCGGCAUGCCUUACACAUGCAAGUCGAACGGUAACAGGUCUUCGGAUGCUGACGAGUGGCGAACGGGUGAGUAAUACAUCGGAACGUGCCCGAUCGUGGGGGAUAACGAGGCGAAAGCUUUGCUAAUACCGCAUACAAUCUACGGAUGAAAGCGGGGGAUCUUCGGACCUCGCGCGGACGGAGCGGCCGAUGGCAGAUUAGGUAGUUGGUGGGAUAAAAGCUUACCAAGCCGACGAUCUGUAGCUGGUCUGAGAGGAUGAUCAGCCACACUGGGACUGAGACACGGCCCAGACUCCUACGGGAGGCAGCAGUGGGGAAUUUUGGACAAUGGGCGAAAGCCUGAUCCAGCCAUGCCGCGUGCAGGAUGAAGGCCUUCGGGUUGUAAACUGCUUUUGUACGGAACGAAAAGCCUCUUUCUAAUAAAGAGGGGUCAUGACGGUACCGUAAGAAUAAGCACCGGCUAACUACGUGCCAGCAGCCGCGGUAAUACGUAGGGUGCAAGCGUUAAUCGGAAUUACUGGGCGUAAAGCGUGCGCAGGCGGUUUUGUAAGACAGAGGUGAAAUCCCCGGGCUCAACCUGGGAACUGCCUUUGUGACUGCAAGGCUGGAGUGCGGCAGAGGGGGAUGGAAUUCCGCGUGUAGCAGUGAAAUGCGUAGAUAUGCGGAGGAACACCGAUGGCGAAGGCAAUCCCCUGGGCCUGCACUGACGCUCAUGCACGAAAGCGUGGGGAGCAAACAGGAUUAGAUACCCCGGUAGU
RNAcentral lists this ribosomal RNA (789 nucleotides) under uncultured bacterium. RNAcentral describes it as "bacterial SSU rRNA". It matches the Rfam family "Bacterial small subunit ribosomal RNA", at positions 8 to 794 of the family's 1533-position model. The record is from RNAcentral.